Molecule: ribosomal RNA, 159 nt
Filed under: Rhizopus microsporus
Lineage: Eukaryota; Fungi; Mucoromycota; Mucoromycetes; Mucorales; Rhizopodaceae
Description: partial 5.8S ribosomal RNA
Rfam family: 5.8S ribosomal RNA (bases 1-104)
About the family: 5.8S ribosomal RNA (5.8S rRNA) is a component of the large subunit of the eukaryotic ribosome. It is transcribed by RNA polymerase I as part of the 45S precursor that also contains 18S and 28S rRNA.
Source: RNAcentral
AAAGUGCGAUAACUAGUGUGAAUUGCAUAUUCGUGAAUCAUCGAGUCUUUGAACGCAGCUUGCACUCUAUGGAUCUUCUAUAGAGUACGCUUGCUUCAGUAUCAUAACCAACCCACACAUAAAAUUUAUUUUAUGUGGUGAUGGACAAGCUCGGUUAAA